GCCCUGGUGGCGGAACUGGUAGACGCGCUAGAUUCAGGUUCUAGUGAGCAUUACGCUCGUGGAGGUUCGAGUCCUCUCCAGGGCACCA
Molecule: transfer RNA, 88 nt
Filed under: Bacteroidetes bacterium CG12_big_fil_rev_8_21_14_0_65_60_17
Lineage: Bacteria; Pseudomonadati; Bacteroidota
Description: tRNA-Leu
Rfam family: tRNA
About the family: Transfer RNA (tRNA) molecules are approximately 80 nucleotides in length.
Source: RNAcentral